This 190-nucleotide unclassified non-coding RNA is filed under the name uncultured Perenniporia. RNAcentral's name for it is "sequence contains ITS2". The record is from RNAcentral. Lineage: Eukaryota; Fungi; Basidiomycota; Agaricomycetes; Polyporales; Polyporaceae.
AAUUCUCAACCUAUGAGCCUUUGCGGGUUUGUAGGAUUGGACUUGGAGGUCUGUCGGCUUGCGUCGGCUCCUCUCAAAUGCAUUAGCUCGAUUCCUUGCGGAUCGGCUCUCGGUGUGAUAGUUUUUUGCGCCGCGACCGUGAAGUGUUUGGCGAGCUUCUAACGGUCUCUUAGGAGACGAUGAAACUGAA